GAACUAUAGCCACUGACAUAACAACUCUAUCUGCGUUACAUAAAGCCAAAGAUAAGGCUAACAUUGCCACAACUUUCACUCUCUCGGAAGUGAUGAACUCCACAAAGCUCCCUUGUUGCUGUACUGAUUGAGAAUCAUUGGAAGAAGUUCGUAUUCGAUUACUCCGAACCGGAAUCUUGGUUCUGAAGAAAGUGUUAGCAGUAAUCAAUUU
This 211-nucleotide unclassified non-coding RNA is filed under the name Hevea brasiliensis (rubber tree). Lineage: Eukaryota; Viridiplantae; Streptophyta; Magnoliopsida; Malpighiales; Euphorbiaceae. The record is from RNAcentral.